RNAcentral lists this ribosomal RNA (312 nucleotides) under Streptomyces sp. 1715. Its description in RNAcentral is "bacterial SSU rRNA". It matches the Rfam family "Bacterial small subunit ribosomal RNA", at positions 1112 to 1423 of the family's 1533-position model. The record is from RNAcentral. Lineage: Bacteria; Bacillati; Actinomycetota; Actinomycetes; Kitasatosporales; Streptomycetaceae.
GCAUGCCCUUCGGGGUGAUGGGGACUCACAGGACACCGCCGGGGUCAACUCGGAGGAAGGUGGGGACGACGUCAAGUCAUCAUGCCCCUUAUGUCUUGGGCUGCACACGUGCUACAAUGGCCGAUACAAUGAGCUGCGAUACCGCGAGGUGGAGCGAAUCUCAAAAAGUCGGUCUCAGUUCGGAUUGGGGUCUGCAACUCGACCCCAUGAAGUUGGAGUUGCUAGUAAUCGCAGAUCAGCAUUGCUGCGGUGAAUACGUUCCCGGGCCUUGUACACACCUGCCCGUCACGUCACGAAAGUCGGUGUACACCC